UUUCACUUCGAUUGACCCCCUGAAACUGAAAUGGUUCACAGAUCAAGAUCUGGUCAGAUCUGACUUGGUCGAAUUAAAUCAGGAGCUUGGGAACGAAUUUUUGAAUGAAACAAACUGGGGGAUACUUAGUUGUGCCAUGGUGAUACCGAGAGAGGCAAUUGCUAAGUUAUGAUACUCUCAUACCUUUACUAGAUGCGAACGAUUCCGGAGAAGAAGAAGAAGUGGUUCGGACAAGGAUCUUAUUUAUAUUGACGGGAUUCUUAUAUUGAUGAAGUUGAAGAAGUCCAGGGACAAAUAAGCCAAGGCAAGCCAUCUUUUGAUCUCUGAUAUGAUGUCUCUUUGGAUGUCAUCUUGUGCUAUCAAUAGCAUCUUGGUUCUAUGUGUGAUGAUCUCCAUAUUGUUGUCAUCUAUGCUUGGAUGCAAGCAUGGUACCUCUAGUAGUUUUAUCUUGUCAAGGUCUUGGUAAUUGGUUGGGUGUAUGGUAUCAUGGCCAUUGCUAUCCAACUUGCUUUCUAUAUUUAGCUUGAAUAUGUUCCACCUCGGGACAAGAUUCAUACUACACCCCCUUCUAGUGUAGAUGUAUCAAUACCAUGUUUUUGGUGUAUUCUCAAAUUGUGAUGAGUAUGCCUGUUUUCCCUUAAUGGUGUUGGUGUUGGUCAAUUCUCAUCCCUAUCUAUCUAUUGAUUGGGUUAGAUAGCACCACAAAUCUGAAAGUAUAUUUCCUCUUGU
Long non-coding RNA from Lolium perenne, 729 nucleotides. RefSeq lists it as uncharacterized. The record is from RefSeq and is a predicted model, not a curated record. Lineage: Eukaryota; Viridiplantae; Streptophyta; Magnoliopsida; Poales; Poaceae.